CCUACGGGAGGCAGCAGUGGGGAAUAUUGCGCAAUGGGCGAAAGCCUGACGCAGCGACGCCGCGUGAGGGAUGAAGGUCUUCGGAUCGUAAACCUCUGUCAGCAGGGAAGAACGGUCACUGUGCUAAUCAGCAGUGAAUUGACGGUACCUGCAAAGGAAGCACCGGCUAACUCCGUGCCAGCAGCCGCGGUAAUACGGAGGGUGCGAGCGUUAAUCGGAAUUACUGGGCGUAAAGCGCUCGUAGGCGGUAUGUCAAGUCAAGGGUGAAAUCCCCGCGCUCAACGUGGGAACUGCCUUUGAAACUGGCAAACUGGAGUGUGGGAGAGGAGAGUGGAAGUCCAGGUGUAGGAGUGAAAUCCGUAGAUAUCAGGAGGAACAUCAGUGGCGAAGGCGACUAUCUGGAACAUAACUGACGCUGAGGAGCGAAAGCGUGGGUAGCAAACAGGAUUAGAUACCCUUGUAGUC
Molecule: ribosomal RNA, 465 nt
Filed under: uncultured bacterium
Lineage: Bacteria
Description: partial 16S ribosomal RNA
Rfam family: Bacterial small subunit ribosomal RNA
Source: RNAcentral